GGGGUCAGCCAAGCCAGUGGGAAGCCUACGACAUUCCCCUGGGUCACUUAGUGAACUCCUACUCUUUCAUCAGGCCUCACUUGAACAUGACUUCCUCCAGAAGCCUUCCCAGACAUCUUUGGAGCUAGAAAGUCAGAAGAGUAGAAUUGGAACCCAGCUCAGUCUGAUGCCACAUCCUUUGUUGUUUCCAUUAAAUCAGAGAAUUUCUUAGUGCUGAGAAACUAUUCUGGAACUUACAACAAAGGCAAGUGGGAAGGGAGUCGCCUGGAAUUUGAUCUCUGUAGAUGCCUUUUUCAUUUAGUUUAUUUUUCAUUUUUAUCUGUUGCUUUGCUCUUAUCAAAUACAGAUAAAUAGCAGCUGCUACUGGUGCUGUUGAUUGCGAUUUCUGUUUGAAAAUGGAAUCUUGAGCAUCUGUUCUCUCCUUUUAUAUUUUACUGUGAGAGAAAAUCUAUUUUUUUCAAAAGGUAAUUCAUACACAUGGUAAAAAUUUAAACAAUAUAAAAACCUAUUUUUAAAAAACAUA
Molecule: long non-coding RNA, 523 nt
Filed under: Homo sapiens (human)
Lineage: Eukaryota; Metazoa; Chordata; Mammalia; Primates; Hominidae
Description: HSALNT0062615
Source: RNAcentral